UGGGGAAUUUUGGACAAUGGGCGAAAGCCUGAUCCAGCAAUGCCGCGUGUGUGAAGAAGGCCUUCGGGUUGUAAAGCACUUUUGUCCGGAAAGAAAUCCUUGGCUCUAAUACAGUCGGGGGAUGACGGUACCGGAAGAAUAAGCACCGGCUAACUACGUGCCAGCAGCCGCGGUAAUACGUAGGGUGCAAGCGUUAAUCGGAAUUACUGGGCGUAAAGCGUGCGCAGGCGGUUUGCUAAGACCGAUGUGAAAUCCCCGGGCUCAACCUGGGAACUGCAUGUGACUGGCAGGCUAGAGUAUGGCAGAGGGGGGUAGAAUUCCACGUGUAGCAGUGAAAUGCGUAGAGAUGUGGAGGAAUACCGAUGGCGAAGGCAGCCCCCUGGGCCAAUACUGACGCUCAUGCACGAAAGCGUGGGGAGCAAACAGGAUUAGAUACCCUGGUAGUCCACGCCCUAAACGAUGUCAACUAGUUGUUGGGGAUUCAUUUCCUUAGUAACGUAGCUAACGCGUGAAGUUGACCGCCUGGGGAGUACGGUCGCAAGAUUAAAACUCAAAUGAAUUGACGGGGUCAUAGCUGUUUCCU
Molecule: ribosomal RNA, 583 nt
Filed under: uncultured bacterium
Lineage: Bacteria
Description: partial 16S ribosomal RNA
Rfam family: Bacterial small subunit ribosomal RNA
Source: RNAcentral